GACGAACGCUGGCGGCGUGCCUAAUACAUGCAAGUAGAACGCUGAAGAGAGGAGCUUGCUCUUCUUGGAUGAGUUGCGAACGGGUGAGUAACGCGUAGGUAACCUGCCUUGUAGCGGGGGAUAACUAUUGGAAACGAUAGCUAAUACCGCAUAACAAUGGAUGACCCAUGUCAUUUAUUUGAAAGGGGCAAAUGCUCCACUACAAGAUGGACCUGCGGUGUAUUAGCUAGUAGGUGAGGUAACGGCCCACCUAGGCGACGAUACAUAGCCGACCUGGGAGGGUGAUCGGCCACACUGGGACUGAGACACGGCCCAGACGCCGACGGGAGGCAGCAGUAGGGAAUCUUCGGCAAUGGGGGCAACCCUGACCGAGCAACGCCGCGUGAGGGAAGAAGGGUUUCGGAUCGGAAAGCUCUGUUGUAAGUCAAGAACGAGUGUGGGAGUGGAAAGUUCACACUGUGACGGUAGCUUACCAGAAAGGGACGGCUAACUACGUG
This 497-nucleotide ribosomal RNA is filed under the name uncultured bacterium. RNAcentral's name for it is "partial 16S ribosomal RNA". It matches the Rfam family "Bacterial small subunit ribosomal RNA", at positions 28 to 507 of the family's 1533-position model. The record is from RNAcentral.